Molecule: long non-coding RNA, 738 nt
Organism: Siniperca chuatsi (mandarin fish)
Lineage: Eukaryota; Metazoa; Chordata; Actinopteri; Centrarchiformes; Sinipercidae
Exons: 2
Source: RefSeq, a predicted model, not a curated record
CGCAGCAGCGAAUCUCGAAGAAAUCUAUGAGAUUUCUGAAGCAGCCGUGGCUGGAGAGGGACAGACAGAGACAGAGGAACAUGAGUGGCAUCAGAGUGAGGACCCGGAGGCACCACCAUCCCACUGUGCUGGAAGACUCAUGAUGGGCAGUUUAAAAAAAAAAGGGAUCAAAAUCGAUGCAGCAGAGCUGGAGAUAUUGUCCUAUUUAUUCCACACAUAAUUCUUCCUUGUCAAAACCUGGCGCCUACAUCACCCACAAUGCAACUCAACUGCCGACAGAUUCCGUCCGUGAUUCAGGUGUGUAAUGCUAGUAGCAGCUAAUGUAGCCUCGAAACCGCUAGCCUAAAGCAUGGAGGAGGAGCGGGCUACAGAGGUUUGGUAAACGCACUUCUUUUUAACGCCACACCCCCAGAUUUUUUUUUUCAUUUUCAAACUUCUAGUCUUCAGCACCAACCGACUUUGCCUCAAGUGACAUAACUCAUCAGACUUCACACAGCUCCCUCUGGAGCAACAAAAGGCUUUAUGCUACUUUUUUAAGCAGUAGUACACCCCAUCACCUGUAAACAGACUUGUAAAAUCGGUGGAGUUCCCCUUUAAGUACCUUCAACCAUCUCAUAACCAUCUCUCCUUAAUAUAAAUGUAAAUGUAUUUUCCUGCAGGCUGCAUUAGAAAAAAGAGAUACCAUCUUCGGAGCUUCGUAGAUUGUUCUAGCUGAGUGAAAUAAACAGUGAAUGCCUC